GCCAGCAGCUAUGUCACUCUGCAACUCACAGCUGGCUACCCGCUGAAGCUAAGCAGGGUUGAGCCUGGUCAGUACCUGAUUGGGAAACCUCCUGGGAAAAACUAAAGGUUGCUGCCGGAA
This 120-nucleotide ribosomal RNA is filed under the name Lepisosteus oculatus (spotted gar). The record is from RNAcentral. Lineage: Eukaryota; Metazoa; Chordata; Actinopteri; Semionotiformes; Lepisosteidae.